CUACGGGAUGCACCAGUGGGGAAUAUUGCACAAUGGGCGCAAGCCUGAUGCAGCCAUGCCGCGUGUAUGAAGAAGGCCUUCGGGUUGUAAAGUACUUUCAGUGGGGAGGAAGGGAGUAAAGUUAAUACCUUUGCUCAUUGACGUUACCCGCAGAAGAAGCACCGGCUAACUCCGUGCCAGCAGCCGCGGUAAUACGGAGGGUGCAAGCGUUCAUCGGAAUUACUGGGCGUAAAGCGCACGCAGGCGGUUUGUUAAGUCAGAUGUGAAAUCCCCGGGCUCAACCUGGGAACUGCAUCUGAUACUGGCAAGCUUGAGUCUCGUAGAGGGGGGUAGAAUUCCAGGUGUAGCGGUGAAAUGCGUAGAGAUCUGGAGGAAUACCGGUGGCGAAGGCGGCCCCCUGGACGAAGACUGACGCUCAGGUGCGAAAGCGUGGGGAGCAAACAGGAUUAGAUACCCGCGUAGUC
Molecule: ribosomal RNA, 464 nt
Filed under: uncultured bacterium
Lineage: Bacteria
Description: partial 16S ribosomal RNA
Rfam family: Bacterial small subunit ribosomal RNA
Source: RNAcentral